UUUGAAAUCUGGCGUACUCUACGUCCGAGUUGUAAUUUGAAGAAGGAUGCUUUGGGCCUGGCUCUUGUCUAUGUUCCUUGGAACAGGACGUCACAGAGGGUGAGAAUCCCGUGCGAUGAGAUGCCCAGGUCCAUGUAAAGCUCUUUCGAAGAGUCGAGUUGUUUGGGAAUGCAGCUCUAAGUGGGUGGUAAAUUCCAUCUAAAGCUAAAUAUUGGCGAGAGACCGAUAGCGAACAAGUACAGUGAUGGAAAGAUGAAAAGAACUUUGAAAAGAGAGUGAAAAAGUACGUGAAAUUGUUGAAAGGGAAGGGCUUGAGAUCAGACUUGGUAUUUUGUAUGGUGCUCCCUCGGGGGCGUCCUCUACAGCUUACUGGGCCAGCAUCGGUUCGGAUGGUAGGAUAAGUACGGAGGAACGUGGCACCACCUCGGUGGUGUGUUAUAGCCUCUUGGAGAUACUGCCUGUCUGGACCGAGGACUGCGUCUU
RNAcentral lists this ribosomal RNA (483 nucleotides) under Hemisphaericaspora subhashii. Its description in RNAcentral is "eukaryotic LSU rRNA". It matches the Rfam family "Eukaryotic large subunit ribosomal RNA", at positions 114 to 603 of the family's 3401-position model. Lineage: Eukaryota; Fungi; Ascomycota; Pichiomycetes; Serinales; Debaryomycetaceae. The record is from RNAcentral.